RNAcentral lists this small RNA (676 nucleotides) under Pan troglodytes (chimpanzee). Its description in RNAcentral is "processed transcript". Lineage: Eukaryota; Metazoa; Chordata; Mammalia; Primates; Hominidae. The record is from RNAcentral.
CUGAUAUAAAUCAUCACACAAGGGAGAGAAUAAAUCGGAAAAAAUAAUGCUCAGAUUCCUUUGGAAUCUCGGGCAAGGGGCUCUUCAGUCAAGAAAGACCCAGAUUUUGUGAUAGAAGCAUUGGGGAGGUGAGGCGAAAUGAGGUCUUGGGGCCCAAGAACCAGAAACAGUUCUCGAAUGCUAUUCAAGGAAUGCCCUAAGGGGGAAACCUAAGAAAAAGUAAGGAAUCUGGAAAUUGCUUUCACCACAUGGCUUUAUCAGUGAAGGUAGGAGAGAGGGUAUCCUAAUGAAUGCUGACUUACCUAUUCUGCUGAUUCCCACAGCACACAGGUAACACUUCUGCUUUCUCUUUGCAGAGCUGAUGAGAUUUUCUGACCACGGGGCUGCUCUUAACACUGAGAAGCGUUUUCCAUGUGAAUUUUGUGGACGGGCGUUUUCACAGGGCUCUGAGUGGGAAAGACAUGUGCUGAGACACGGCAUGGCAUUGAAUGACACCAAGCAGGUGAGCAGAGAAGAAAUCCACCCAAAAGAGAUCAUGGAGAACAGUGUUAAAAUGCCCUCCAUAGAGGAAAAGGAAGAUGACGAGGCCAUUGGGAUAGACUUUUCCCUAAAGAAUGAAACAGUAGCCAUCUGUGUAGUAACUGCCGACAAAUCUCUUCUGGAGAAUGCAGAGGCC